GGCCCCAAAUUCCCUUCUGAGCAUUACGGGUGUUCAUUCAUGCAACAGAUACUCAUUGAGGGCCUACUGUGUGCCAGGCGCCUUUCCGAG
RNAcentral lists this microRNA precursor (90 nucleotides) under Pteropus vampyrus (large flying fox). RNAcentral describes it as "miRNA (ENSPVAG00000029171.1)". Lineage: Eukaryota; Metazoa; Chordata; Mammalia; Chiroptera; Pteropodidae. The record is from RNAcentral.